CCUGAACGCUGGCGGCGUGGCUAAGACAUGCAAGUCGCACGGGGUCGCAAGACCCACGUGGCGGACGGGUGAGUAAUUUAUCGCUAAUGUACCCUAGAGCCAGGGAUAGCUGCCCGAAAGGGCAGGUAAUACCUGAUGAUAUAACUUUAUCGCAUGAUAAGGUUCUCAAAGACAGCAAUGCACUCUUGGAGCAGGCGAUAUCGUAUCAGCUAGUUGGUGAGGUAACGGCUCACCAAGGCGAUGACGCGUAGCUGGUCUGAGAGGACGGACCAGCCACAUCGGGACGUGAGACACU
This 295-nucleotide ribosomal RNA is filed under the name uncultured bacterium. RNAcentral's name for it is "partial 16S ribosomal RNA". It matches the Rfam family "Bacterial small subunit ribosomal RNA", at positions 30 to 328 of the family's 1533-position model. The record is from RNAcentral.